RNAcentral lists this long non-coding RNA (524 nucleotides) under Lathyrus oleraceus (garden pea). Its description in RNAcentral is "Pisum sativum (pea) long non-coding RNA (PSAT_LNC002614)". The record is from RNAcentral. Lineage: Eukaryota; Viridiplantae; Streptophyta; Magnoliopsida; Fabales; Fabaceae.
UGCUGUUUGGUGUAUUAUUGCGUCGUAAUUUCGGAGUUCAAAUUCAAUUUAACUUCCAAAAAUUGUCUGGACGCAUAGAUUGUUGCUCGACUUCUUAUAGAGUGAUUCAUACAUAAAUCCACUCUAAGUUAGCUUGGAGUUAAAUUCAGUUGCUCUCGGUUUCAGUUGGCAUUCAGUCCUGUCGCUUACUCUUGGGCCUUCUUACAAUGAGCUCUUUUCUUUUUGCAUGCUCGCAUUCACUUGUCUGCAUUUCCAUUACCCUUGAGUAUCUAAACCAUUUUCUAAAUAAAACGUGAAGAAAAAGAUUACCUGGAUGGAAUGUCCAGUCGUAAUCCCGAAUAUUAGGCUCAAGCUGUAAGAGCUUGCCAGUCAUAAAUAUUCGUCUUCACUUCCACCCUCUAAUAUUCAAAUCGUUUUCUAAAUAAAACGUGAAGAAAAAGAUUACCUGGAGGGAAUAUCCAGUCGUAAUCCCGAAUAUUAGGCUCAAAUUGUAAGAGCUUGUAAGCCGUAAAUAUUCGUCUUCU